This is a long non-coding RNA of Sceloporus undulatus (fence lizard), 494 nucleotides long. RefSeq lists it as uncharacterized. The transcript is spliced from 4 exons. The record is from RefSeq and is a predicted model, not a curated record. NCBI's taxonomy places the organism in Eukaryota, Metazoa, Chordata, Lepidosauria, Squamata, Phrynosomatidae.
CAGAUAAAAAGAUAGACUUGAAGGCACAAAACAUGGACAGACGGAUGGAAAGGUAGACUUGAAAGAUAGUCUUGGAGGCACACAACAUACAUGGAUGGAUGGAAAGACUUGAGGGCAUACAACAUAGAUGAAUAGAGCGGAAGGGUAGAUGGAAAGACUUGAAGGUACACAACAUACAUGGAUAGAUUGGAUGGACAGAUAAAAAGAUAGACUUGAAGGCACAAAACAUGGAUGGAUGGAUGGAAAGGUAGACUUGAAAGAUAGUCUUGUAGGCACAAAACAUGGAUGGAUGCAAAGGUAGACUUGAAAGAUAGUCUUGUAGGCACAAAACAUGGAUGGAUGGAAAGGUAGACUUGAAAGAUAGUCUUGUAGGCACAAAACAUGGAUGGAUGGUAAGAUAGACUUGAAAGAUAGUCUUGUAGGCACAAAACAUGGAUGGAUGGAAAGGUAGACUUGAAAGAUAGUCUUGUAGGCACAAAACAUGGAUGGAUGGA